Molecule: ribosomal RNA, 1326 nt
Filed under: Frigoribacterium sp. VKM Ac-2836
Lineage: Bacteria; Bacillati; Actinomycetota; Actinomycetes; Micrococcales; Microbacteriaceae
Description: bacterial SSU rRNA
Rfam family: Bacterial small subunit ribosomal RNA
Source: RNAcentral
UUGGAAAGAAUUUUGGUCAAGGAUGGACUCGCGGCCUAUCAGCUAGUUGGUGAGGUAAUGGCUCACCAAGGCGACGACGGGUAGCCGGCCUGAGAGGGUGACCGGCCACACUGGGACUGAGACACGGCCCAGACUCCUACGGGAGGCAGCAGUGGGGAAUAUUGCACAAUGGGCGAAAGCCUGAUGCAGCAACGCCGCGUGAGGGAUGACGGCCUUCGGGUUGUAAACCUCUUUUAGUAGGGAAGAAGCGAAAGUGACGGUACCUGCAGAAAAAGCACCGGCUAACUACGUGCCAGCAGCCGCGGUAAUACGUAGGGUGCAAGCGUUGUCCGGAAUUAUUGGGCGUAAAGAGCUCGUAGGCGGUUUGUCGCGUCUGCUGUGAAAUCUGGGGGCUCAACCCCCAGCCUGCAGUGGGUACGGGCAGACUAGAGUGCGGUAGGGGAGAUUGGAAUUCCUGGUGUAGCGGUGGAAUGCGCAGAUAUCAGGAGGAACACCGAUGGCGAAGGCAGAUCUCUGGGCCGUAACUGACGCUGAGGAGCGAAAGCAUGGGGAGCGAACAGGAUUAGAUACCCUGGUAGUCCAUGCCGUAAACGUUGGGAACUAGAUGUGGGGGCCAUUCCACGGUCUCCGUGUCGCAGCUAACGCAUUAAGUUCCCCGCCUGGGGAGUACGGCCGCAAGGCUAAAACUCAAAGGAAUUGACGGGGGCCCGCACAAGCGGCGGAGCAUGCGGAUUAAUUCGAUGCAACGCGAAGAACCUUACCAAGGCUUGACAUAUACCGGAAACGUCCAGAGAUGGUCGCCCCGCAAGGUCGGUAUACAGGUGGUGCAUGGUUGUCGUCAGCUCGUGUCGUGAGAUGUUGGGUUAAGUCCCGCAACGAGCGCAACCCUCGUUCUAUGUUGCCAGCACGUUAUGGUGGGAACUCAUAGGAGACUGCCGGGGUCAACUCGGAGGAAGGUGGGGAUGACGUCAAAUCAUCAUGCCCCUUAUGUCUUGGGCUUCACGCAUGCUACAAUGGCCGGUACAAAGGGCUGCAAUACCGUAAGGUGGAGCGAAUCCCAAAAAGCCGGUCUCAGUUCGGAUUGAGGUCUGCAACUCGACCUCAUGAAGUCGGAGUCGCUAGUAAUCGCAGAUCAGCAACGCUGCGGUGAAUACGUUCCCGGGCCUUGUACACACCGCCCGUCAAGUCAUGAAAGUCGGUAACACCCGAAGCCAGUGGCCUAACCCUUGUGGAUGGAGCUGUCGAAGGUGGGAUCGGUGAUUAGGACUAAGUCGUAACAAGGUAGCCGUACCGGAAGGUGCGGCUGGAUCACCUCCUUUCUAAGGA